This 420-nucleotide ribosomal RNA is filed under the name Fusobacteriota bacterium. Its description in RNAcentral is "Fusobacteria bacterium partial 16S ribosomal RNA". It matches the Rfam family "Bacterial small subunit ribosomal RNA", at positions 355 to 776 of the family's 1533-position model. The record is from RNAcentral. Lineage: Bacteria; Fusobacteriati; Fusobacteriota.
UGGGGGAUAUUGCACAAUGGGCGAAAGCCUGAUGCAGCGACGCCGCGUGGGGGAUGAAGGCCUUCGGGUUGUAAACUUCUUUUGCUCUGAACAAGGCAUGCCUUUGGGGUGUGUUGAGUGUAGGGGUUGAUUAGCGCCGGCUAACUACUUGCCAGCAGCCGCGGUAAUACGUAGGGCGCGAGCGUUGUCCGGAAUUAUUGGGCGUAAAGGGCUUGUAGGUGGCUGGUUGCGUCUGUCGUGAAAGCUCAUGGCUUAACUGUGGGUUUGCGGUGGGUACGGGCUGGCUUGAGUGCAGUAGGGGAGGCUGGAAUUCCUGGUGUAGCGGUGGAAUGCGCAGAUAUCAGGAGGAAUACCGGUGGCGAAGGCGGGUCUCUGGGCUGUUACUGACGCUGAGGAGCGAAAGCGUGGGGAGCGAACAGG